Molecule: long non-coding RNA, 1112 nt
Organism: Bos taurus (domestic cattle)
Lineage: Eukaryota; Metazoa; Chordata; Mammalia; Artiodactyla; Bovidae
Source: Ensembl
GGGUGCCACCACGCUUCUUUCUAGGCGGUAUCUGUUCACCUGUACCUGCGUCCCUAGCAGCUUGGGAGCCCUGCCAGUGCCCCUGGAACUGAACUCCCAGGUGGUGCCAACAGCCCCAGUCUCCCCAGGUGACCAGCACGCGUGAAAUGAUGCUUAGAGGGUGAAAUGUCAUCCUUCGAGGAUGAACCGCAAAGGAGCAUGUGAGGGAGCCUCCACCUGUGUCCAGUGGACAAACAGCGCUUCCUGGAGACCAGCCUUUUGCGCGUGGACUGAGGUCAAGCCUUGAAGUCCUUCCUAUCACCUGGUUGGCCGCCAAGAGGAGGGGUCACCUGUGUCUGGACCCCCAAGGCCCCACCCUGCUGCAGAUCGCGAGACCAUCGCCUUCUUCAAACCGCUGCUGGUUUUUCCUGACCUUCUGCCCCACGCACAGAAGGGACUGAGCCUCAGUGUCUUCAUCUGUGAAAUGGAGCCAAGAUUCCUACCUCACGGCCAUCACCUGUGCUUUCGAGUGGAAAGAGGACAGCUUCGGAAUCACGGGGACUUGGUCCAGAUCUCAGUGUUGCCACUGGGCAAGUCUAUCUUUCUGGGCUCCGGUUUCUUGUUUGCAGAGAGGGGAGAGUGGAGGCCACUUCUCCAGAGUUGUGAGAACUGGAGUCAACUCCAUCCUUGGCGGUGGCACGUGCUCUGCAAAUGGCAGCAGAUGGUGCCGGUGCCGAGAGGAGAUGUCAGUGUCCCCGUUUCUCAGGCUAGGAAACGGAGGCUCCAAGAGGAGGUUCAAGUGAAUGGUGAGGCUGGGUUGGCCCCAGCCCGUCUGAUGCACACAUAUCCCACUGCCCGCUGAGCCUCUUUCCCUCCUUGAUUGACCCGGAGGAAGCGUUUGCUCCUGGAGGGGCCCAGCCGUCCUCACACAUUGGCCAGAGGCUGGGGGUGACCGUGGCUGACGUGGCAUUUGCUGUCUUUCCCCGGAGCUGCAGUGACAAGCUAACAACUGUUACCAGGAGUCCUGCUUCCCACCACCAGCGAGGGAGAGACGUUGAUGGCAUCCGGAGGGUGGGCCUGGGGCGUUUGAACCCCAGCAUCCAGACUGGCCAGGGUUGGGGGGUGAGCUGGUU